This is a long non-coding RNA of Toxotes jaculatrix (banded archerfish), 1095 nucleotides long. RefSeq lists it as uncharacterized. The record is from RefSeq and is a predicted model, not a curated record. The transcript is spliced from 4 exons. Lineage: Eukaryota; Metazoa; Chordata; Actinopteri; Toxotidae.
UCGGGGUUUGGAAGGUCUUCUUGUGGGCCCCCACCGCCUGCUCAAAGAGGCUGAUUUUAUCUGCAAUCCGGCCAAGGACUGGUUUAGGCUCCUCAUCGCGUUUCUUCAAGUCUUGUGGUCUGUGUAUGAUAAGGGCAAAGCAUCCACAACUACAGGACUGCGGUAGACUGUGGCAUCGGUGAUAUGCGUGCUGUUGAAGUUCUGUGCCUCCAGCGGAGCGCAAGCAGUCCAGUCGUAAAAGGAUGCCUUCAAGUGCUCCUCGUAAACCUCUGACACGAGUGCCACUGUGGAGCCGGUUAGUCAACAAGUGAUUUUCCCACGUCAAGCACCUGACCGCAGUUUCGUUUUGCUGAUAGUAGUCUGGCUGAUGGCCAACUUUUAGACCCUAGAGGGAGUAUGUAGCCUAGAUUGGUUGGAACAACUGGAGCAUAAUGGAGGCGUUUGGGACACAAAGUACAAAAAUACUACUGCAACAGGCUGCCACCAGUACACUGCCAUGACACUAGCCUGUCAAGUCAUCUCCCAACUACUGAAAAUUUAAGUUUUUACCACGACAGAUGGUUUCCAAGGGAACACUCGGGACUUCAAUUAAACCAGGAUCUGGAUCAGCCUGACCUUCUGCAUAGCCAUUCUCAGAACAUAACUCAAAGCUCAUAGAAAGCCAUAUAAACAAGCACUGUCAUGAAUUCACCAAGACAUCACAUAAAAACAACUGCAAAACUUUGUAUCUAAUCUUAAAUGAUUAUGUGCCAUACGCUUAUUGAAUUACAGCUCCUGGAGGCUGAGGAUUUGAGUGCUAAAUCGGGUUGAUUAAGCUGCCACAGCACACCGAUCUAUUUUUUUCCACACGUCUGCUGUUACUAACUACCCUUCUACGCCCUGUGCCUUGGUGAUCAUUGAUCAUUGGCUAUUCUGUAACGAUAAUUCAAACAAGAGAUGUCCUCCUCAGAAUGCAAAUAACUAUACAGUAUCUUACCAUCAGUAUUGUGAAAGAGGAUGGGAGUUAUACAUUGUGGGUCUGUUUCAGUAGAAGCUCAGGUUUGUAUGAAAUUAGUUCUUAUGCGUGAUCUACACAUGAUUGCCUCUGGUGAGAGG